CCUACGGGAGGCUGCAGUGAGGAAUAUUGGUCAAUGGACGAAAGUCUGAACCAGCCACGCAGCGUGAAGGAAGAAUGCCCUCGGGGUGUUAAACUCCUUUUAUAAAGGAGUAAAACGAGGCACUUGUGCCUUUUUGCAUGUCCUUUAUGAAUAAGGAUCGGCUAACUCCGUUCCAGCAGCCGCGGUAAUACGGAGGAUCCGAGCGUUAUCCGGAUUGAUUGGGUGUAAAGGGCGCGUAGGCGGAGUGAUAAGUUAGAGGUGAAAUGUCCGAGCUUAACUCGGGAACUGCCUCUAAUACUGUUGAGCUAGAGAGUAGAUGCGGUAGGCGGAAUGUAUGGUGUAGCGGUGAAAUGCGUAGAGAUCAGACAGAACACCGAUGGCGAAGGCAGCUUACCAAUCUAUAUCUGACGUUGAGGCACGAAAGCGUGGGGAGCAAACAGGAUUAGAUACCCGUGUAGUC
RNAcentral lists this ribosomal RNA (460 nucleotides) under uncultured bacterium. Its description in RNAcentral is "partial 16S ribosomal RNA". It matches the Rfam family "Bacterial small subunit ribosomal RNA", at positions 338 to 795 of the family's 1533-position model. The record is from RNAcentral.